This 945-nucleotide ribosomal RNA is filed under the name Kuangella theae. Its description in RNAcentral is "partial 28S ribosomal RNA". It matches the Rfam family "Eukaryotic large subunit ribosomal RNA", at positions 366 to 944 of the family's 3401-position model. The record is from RNAcentral. Lineage: Eukaryota; Metazoa; Arthropoda; Arachnida; Trombidiformes; Eriophyidae.
AAAUAGAACUUUGCAGAGAGAGUUAAGAGGGCGUGAACCGUUAAUUGGCGAACGAAUCGGAGCCACGAAGUCGUUUCGCUGAUGAGCCGGGGCUCAUUUCAUCUAGACACAAAAGUGUCAAGUGUAUUCUUGGUUUGGCCAUCUUUGUAAGCGUACACUGCAACCAGUUAGACAAUUGGCCAUGGGCCCAGUUGCUUGGUGUUGGGCCUCAAAAUCCGACCCAGGUAACGCAUCAUUUGUUUGUUGCUAGUAGUAGUAGUGCGUGUGUCCUUGUGGCGCUCGUAUUGCUGGCUAGCGGCAAGUGAACUAUGGCCAAAUACUGACUGGCAAAAUGAAAAUCGCCCCCGCGGCGUUAGCAGAGAAUGCAGUUGUUUGCAUUUGGGUACACGUGUGUGGCCAUUGGGUUUAAGUUCGGCAUCUUUGAAUUUGGACUGGCUAGCUACCAGUGGGGCAACCCCUGGUGCUAGUUUAGCUUUCAUCUAAUCGGGUGUUGACUUGAUCUAGUGUCGUCCGCAUACGCAACGCUGUGCCUAAAUGUAAGAUAAUUUGCAAUCACAUUGGCAGUGAGUAGGUCGGCUUUCCGAACGACCCGUCUUGAAACACGGACCAAGGAGUCUAAUUAGGCAUCGAGUCGAUCGGUCUUGUUUAGGCCAGAAUUAAUGCGUGUACCUUGUUGUAUACGAACGAAGGCGUAGAGAAAUCAAAUUUCAUGUGAUUCUCAUGGCAUAUACCCAUGCUUGAGACGCAACAUGUGCCUGCUCGUGUGCCAUUGUUGAAAAACAUGGUGAGCGGAGUAAAGAGAUACUUGAUUGGUACCCGAAAGAUGGUGAACUAUGCUUGGGCAAAUUGAAGCCAGAGGAAACUCUGGUGGAGGAUUGUAGCGAUUCUGACGUGCAAAUCGAUCGUCAGACCUGAGUAUAGGGGCGAAAGACUAAUCGAACCAUC